RNAcentral lists this ribosomal RNA (463 nucleotides) under uncultured bacterium. RNAcentral describes it as "bacterial SSU rRNA". It matches the Rfam family "Bacterial small subunit ribosomal RNA", at positions 37 to 518 of the family's 1533-position model. The record is from RNAcentral.
UGGCGGCGUGCCUAACACAUGCAAGUCGAGCGAGGAGAUUCCUCGGGAUGAUCCUAGCGGCGGACGGGUGAGUAACACGUGGGCAACCUGCCUCAUAGAGAGGAAUAGCCUUCCGAAAGGGAGAUUAAUACCUCAUAACAUUGCAGUUUCGCAUGGAACAGCAAUUAAAGGAGUAAUCCGCUAUGAGAUGGGCCCGCGGCGCAUUAGCUAGUUGGUGAGGUAACGGCUCACCAAGGCGACGAUGCGUAGCCGACCUGAGAGGGUGAUCGGCCACAUUGGGACUGAGACACGGCCCAGACUCCUACGGGAGGCAGCAGUGGGGAAUAUUGCACAAUGGGGGAAACCCUGAUGCAGCAACGCCGCGUGAGUGAUGACGGCCUUCGGGUUGUAAAGCUCUGUCUUCAGGGACGAUAAUGACGGUACCUGAGGAGGAAGCCACGGCUAACUACGUGCCAGCCGCCGC